RNAcentral lists this transfer RNA (72 nucleotides) under Camelus bactrianus (Bactrian camel). It matches the Rfam family "tRNA". From Rfam's summary of the family: Transfer RNA (tRNA) molecules are approximately 80 nucleotides in length. Their secondary structure includes four short double-helical elements and three loops (D, anti-codon, and T loops). The record is from Rfam by way of RNAcentral. Lineage: Eukaryota; Metazoa; Chordata; Mammalia; Artiodactyla; Camelidae. RNAcentral also lists the same sequence under 1 other name.
GGAGAUAUAGCUCAGUAAUAGAGUGCGUGCUUAGCAUGAAUGAAGUCCUGGGUUCAAUCCUCAGUACCUCCA